This 406-nucleotide ribosomal RNA is filed under the name uncultured Xanthobacter sp. RNAcentral's name for it is "bacterial SSU rRNA". It matches the Rfam family "Bacterial small subunit ribosomal RNA", at positions 356 to 774 of the family's 1533-position model. The record is from RNAcentral. Lineage: Bacteria; Pseudomonadati; Pseudomonadota; Alphaproteobacteria; Hyphomicrobiales; Xanthobacteraceae.
GGGGAAUAUUGCACAAUGGGCGAAAGCCUGAUGCAGCGACGCCGCGUGAGGGAUGACGGCCUUCGGGUUGUAAACCUCUUUCAGCAGGGAAGAAGCGAAAGUGACGGUACCUGCAGAAGAAGCCCCGGCUAACUUCGUGCCAGCAGCCGCGGUAAUACGAAGGGGGCUAGCGUUGCUCGGAAUCACUGGGCGUAAAGCGCACGUAGGCGGAUCGUUAAGUCAGGGGUGAAAUCCUGGGGCUCAACCUCAGAACUGCCCUUGAUACUGGCGAUCUCGAGUUCGAGAGAGGUUGGUGGAACUCCGAGUGUAGAGGUGAAAUUCGUAGAUAUUCGGAAGAACACCAGUGGCGAAGGCGGCCAACUGGCUCGAUACUGACGCUGAGGUGCGAAAGCGUGGGGAGCAAACA